This 439-nucleotide ribosomal RNA is filed under the name uncultured bacterium. RNAcentral's name for it is "partial 16S ribosomal RNA". It matches the Rfam family "Bacterial small subunit ribosomal RNA", at positions 339 to 795 of the family's 1533-position model. The record is from RNAcentral.
CUACGGGAUGCAGCAGUGAGGAAUAUUGCACAAUGGGGGGACCCUGGUGCAGCAACGCCGCGUGGAGGAUGACGCAUUUCGGUGUGUAAACUCCUUUUAUAUGUCAAGAAAAUGACGGUAGCAUAUGAAUAAGCACCGGCGUAACUCCGUGCCAGCAGCCGCGGUAAUACGGAGGGUGCAAGCGUUACUCGGAAUCACUGGGCGUAAAGGACGCGUAGGCGGGUUGGAAAGUCAGGUGUGAAAUCCUACAGCUUAACUGUAGAACUGCACUUGAAACUUCUAAUCUAGAGUAUGGGAGGGGGAGAUGGAAUUAGUGGUGUAGGGGUAAAAUCCGUAGAUAUCACUAGGAAUACCUAAAGCGAAGGCGAUCUCCUGGAACAUUACUGACGCUAAGGCGUGAAAGCGUGGGGAGCAAACAGGAUUAGAUACCCCCGUAGUC